UUAAGGGACUUAUACUAGAUUAGGCUCGAAUCUAAGGGCUGAAUUGAAAAUCCACCAAAGAGAUAAGAAAUCCCCAAUUUCUUCUCCCGUGUGUGCUUCCUGGCCACUGGUAACUGCCGCCGCUCAGUGCGAACCGGCCGGUAGUUGCGCCACCGCCGCUGCUUGGGAAGCGAGGCCGUGUCGCACAGCGCCUGAGGGCACCGCCAUGCGCAGGAAACUGUGCCGCACCGGAGUACGUUGGCCGCCCACUCGCGUCGAGCGCCGAUGAUCUUCGGGUGCGGUUGCAGCGCCUUAGGUGGUCACUCGGACGAGCGCUGGAGGAUGCCGCUGGGAAGGCCGGGGGCCUCUAGCCCCAGGUGCCCUCGUGCCAGGGGAAGCAGCGUCGGGCCGGCGUUGAGAACUUCGGCGUGGAGGUUAGUGCGUCUUGUGUGCAAGAGCAAAAAGAAUGGAAUAUGGUCACCUGAUGAUGUAGCAAUUAAGAUCGAGAGUUUGGUGUUUGUAUAAAUUAAUGCUUCAUCGUCUUGGAGAAGGGGCGGCCCAGAUCCUCGUUAUUUUUCAUGUGAUCCCCUUUUCUCUUCUUCUGUUCUUGGCCGAACUUGGUGUUUCGUCUGUGAGGACGAUUUUUCUCCUCAAUCCUCUGUCUUCUUUUUGGCAGUUAUUGGUAUGGAUUUUCGAUCGAGUGAUCCUGGAUGCCAACGCCCAUAUCCUUUUCUAGUGUGUUCGAGGCUUCCAAUUCUUGAAUCGAUGGAGGCUGGCGCUGCGUUCUUCCAUCGGUUCUUCUUUCUUUGUAGUUCACGAUUGAUCAAUUCUUCGUGAGAUUCGUGUGAGCGCAUAUACAUACAGGAGAAAAACAAUUCAUUGUUAGAUUAUUAAUUGAUGAUUGCAAGAAGACAAGAUCAAUCAAUCAAUCUCCCUGAUUAGUUUCUUUCCUUUUUGUACGAGGAACAUCUCGUCUUCGCCGUGAAUCGCGUGGUGGCCGAAACUCUAGUAGCCAACUUCUCCAGACUUCUCCAGUCAUCGUCUGCGGCAAUUGCAGAUCGCCGGAGUGGCCUCCUCUGGCCAUAGAGAGGCCUUGCCGUUUGCCGCCGCUGUCGUCGGCAGUCAUGUGGCGGAUUGAAGCGCCGGAGGGCGCCGCUUCGACGCGCCUACAGAGGAGGGCGUCGUCAACCAUGGGGUGCCUCAGCCGCCUGCAUCGCGCGCUGGUGCUGCGCCGCUGGAGCGCUGUCGAGGCCGAGGGUCCUCGUGUCCUUGGGGCCGGAGGGAGGGUCAGGGACGGUGGAGCCGUCGAGUUCUUGGCCUAAUUGCUCUCUGGAAGAGGCGUGCGUGAUAACGUGUUUAGAGAGAAUCGAGAGAGAGGAGCGAAUGGAAAACAGAUAUAUGAAUGAACAGUUAUUCUAUUGAUUGAA
Long non-coding RNA from Triticum aestivum (bread wheat), 1406 nucleotides. RefSeq lists it as uncharacterized. NCBI's taxonomy places the organism in Eukaryota, Viridiplantae, Streptophyta, Magnoliopsida, Poales, Poaceae. The transcript is spliced from 2 exons. The record is from RefSeq and is a predicted model, not a curated record.